UACGUAGGGGGCAAGCGUUGUCCGGAAUUAUUGGGCGUAAAGAGCUCGUAGGCGGUCUGUCGCGUCGGAUGUGAAAAUCCAGGGCUCAACCCUGGACCUGCAUUCGAUACGGGCAGACUAGAGUUCGGCAGGGGAGACUGGAAUUCCUGGUGUAGCGGUGAAAUGCGCAGAUAUCAGGAGGAACACCGGUGGCGAAGGCGGGUCUCUGGGCCGAUACUGACGCUGAGGAGCGAAAGCGUGGGGAGCGAACAGG
This 253-nucleotide ribosomal RNA is filed under the name uncultured bacterium. Its description in RNAcentral is "partial 16S ribosomal RNA". It matches the Rfam family "Bacterial small subunit ribosomal RNA", at positions 524 to 776 of the family's 1533-position model. The record is from RNAcentral.